GGGACACGGGGACCCGCACCGGGGUUUGGGAUGCAGGGAGGGUGCCACUCCUUGGGGAGCGGAUUGAUGGGGAAGAGGCUGAUACCUGCUCCAGUGCCCUUCAGCCUCUCCAAAGCGGGCAAGGUGCGAUGCGUGUUCCAGGGAGAUCCUCCCAUCACCUCAGACUUGCUCUUUGGGGGUCACCUGGCUGCCAACACAGUCGUUUGAGGAAGGGAAGUUUGUAAAUAUCCCUGCAGUUUUGCCGUGCUUCUGAAGUUGGGGUGUAUGGAUGCAACGCUGUGCAUCUCCAUGCAAUAGUUCUUCCUUACACGUGAUAACUCUUCCUGGGCUUUGUGACACCAGCUACAAAAGGAACCUUUGCUUCCUGCCUUCUUCCCAAGUGAUUAUAAAGCAUUACAUCCCUGUGCAUAGCUGCCAUCCAGCUUCCCUGCUGCCUUAGGCUGCUUCCCUGUGGGGUUGGAAAGAAGCAGCAGCGAGCAAAAUAUCUGCUGCAGGGAGGAGAUGCUCCUUCCGUAUGGAAUGUAGAGUUUGGGGUGAGCAUCACAACCCCCAGCACAGGAACACUGCUCCAAAGGGCUGGAGGAGCUCUGCUGCUGGGAGGUGACCCGUUGCUGUCAUAGGAACAUGUGUCCUGCAGUUUGUGGAUGGUGCCAGCAGGACUCGAGGUCUUCAGACCUUCCCGUUGCCACCAGAGGGAGAAGGGCCCGGCAGCACAAGGAUAAUGGGAAAGGAGGAUUCUGUAAUUCAUUCUGGUCGGGAAUAACCGGGCGGGUGUUCCUGUGAGCUGGAAAAUGGGCAAACUUCAACUUUUCAUCAGUCAGCAAGUCAUGCACGAGUGUCAGGCUGCGGGGUCAGAAACAAGGAAAGGGUGUCCAGAAAGAUCCUCCCAUCACCUGAUACCUGCUCUUCUGGAAUCACCUGGUUGAAAAUCCACUGCUUUGAGGAAGGAAACAGUUUGCCAAUGUCUUGUCUUCCCCCACUCCCAAAGUUGUAGUGCAUGGGUGAAGACCAGCUCUCCUGCCAAAAUUACUACUGGUGAUGGAUGUGCCCUUCCUGGCAGGAAAAAUGCCCCUGUGCUGGAAGAGGAGAGGUUGCACUGUGCCUUUGAGCUCCCCUGCACUGACAGCCUUCCCCCAGUAUCUCCCUCCCCCGUGGAGUGCAGACCCUGCCAGGUGAGCUGCAGCUCUCCAGGCUUGUCUGUCUCCUGGUUUGAGACCCCUCAGAUGUCCAUCAGCUCCUGGGAGCUGGCUGACCAUGGGUUGAGACCUUCUGCUCUAGUGGAAGAUGAACUGAACUUGGGACAGUUCAGGCAGGAAAUAAGUGACAUAUUUCCAGCAGUCAACAGUGAUGAGUCACUGGAGGAAUCUGCCCUGGGAUCUGUAAGUUCAUCACUUCCAAGGGUCUCUUGACUCAGGGCUGAAUGCUUUCCAAGGGGAUGCUCUGCACUGGCCACGUGCUGAGGACAUGAGGACGAUGCUUGGGUGAUAUUCUGUAUGCAGGAGGUUGGACACUUGGCCUUAAUGAUCUACAAGCCACUUACUGAAUGAAUAAAUAAGUGGUUACGAAGCAGCAGCAGAGCAGUUUGGCAGGGAUGGUCAAAUGUGUGGGACCACGGUGGGCCUGGGGUGAUAUCCAAUAUGGGGACUUGCUGCUGCUGGGUGCUGCAGGGAUGAGCCUUGUUCCCCUCUGGGGAAAGCUGGAAUACAUUGUUUAGGGUUCCUUCCUUCCUCAGCCUUGGAUCCACGUGUCCCAGCAGCCACUGGUGAUGGGAGGGAGCUGCUCCUGUGGCUCUCAUGGAGCUGAGCCCCUCUGGGUGCAUGGGAGAGCAUUGUGGGGCCCCUGGCUGUGUGGGGGUUUGAGGAUGGCCUGGGGAGGAGGAGGAGGUGACAGAGACAUCCUGUAAGGGACACCGUGUGAGCUGGCCUCACAGGAGGCUGCUGCAGUUCAGCAGGUGAAGGCAAGUAAAAGAAACAAAGGAAAUCCAGGGGUCCCUUCUUCUCCCAGCUCUCCUGGAAGUGGCAGGGCAGCAGUUUUCUGCACCGGGUGUUGAAUCCCUGCACGUUACACCAACACACACCCACCCACCAUUACCUUUCUCACCCUCUCUGAACACACCAUAGCAUUGAUCUCCACAAUAUCUCGGGACAGUGGAUUUCAGGCUUUAUUUGUGCAGUGGGGACACUUUCUGCCUUGCUCUCUGAUCCUUUCCUAGAAAUUCCUGCCUCUUGACUCGCUGCCUUUCAGUCUGAGCAUGUUCUGGGCAGUUUCCCCUGGGCACAUCUUCACACUUCUCCACAUUACAUUAAAUCUGCUCCUUGAUAGCUCAGCACUGUGAGCUUAACUUUGGCUGCCUCAGCUAUUUGGUAUUGCCUUUGCCUGACCACUGAUUCCUCUUGUUUUGGGUGUUCAGUGCCUGCUCUGCCCCUCUGGGCCUUUGCUCCCUGGAAAGUGCUCUACAAUCUGAUGGUUUAUUUCUGACCCGUUGGUUUCUUUCAGCUCAAUUUCUGUGCAGAAUAUGACCCUCUUUGCUGCCUCUUAAUUCAAUUUCUGCCCAGGCUGCUUGUCCAGGUUAGGUGGGGAAACCACAGUGGCUGCUGAUGGAAGACUCAGGUCCCUAUCACAUGCACUGACACGUCUCUACUCAGUAAAAUAUUUAUUCCUCCAUUAUUUCACAAGAGUUGUUUUUACAAAAACCUUACAAAAAUUUCCAAAACACAGACAUGCAGAAGAAAAAAAAAACAAAACAAAACAAAAAUCCACCAUGGAUCUCGUUACAAGUAAUUGAAAUGUACAAAUAGAAAGGGCGAGAGAGAGCUUAGAUUACAAUAAUCCCUCGGUCCUGCUACCCCUCCAUGGGUGCAAUUUGUAUCUCUUCUUGGUGAGUUCAGCAUUGACUGACAAACUGUGAUAAGCUGCCAAAAGCACAGCAAAGGAGGGGCCCUAAGAUUAGGAGCAAAUGUUUUCAAAUAUAUAUAUACAUAUAGAUAUUUAGUGAAGAAAUAUUUAUUCCCUGCUUUUUUUAGGUUUACAGAAACAGCAUCUGCAAACUAUUAAAUGGGUUUAUUUUCAUUAAUGUUCUCAAAGAGGCAGCAACAUUUAUAUCCCUGUGGUUUCAUCUUGUAUAACUGUAAAAAGAGCCCUGUUCUUUCCAUGGGAAUGGGACCCCCCUGGCCCCCUCCUCCUGCCCCAAGUGGUGUUUCUCAGGGUGGAUGACUUGAUCCACAGUGGAUCCCUCUUCCCCCUGGUUUGGCAGGUCUCUGUGCAGUGUGGGGAGCUGGCAUGACAACUGGGAGGGACACCAGCCCUGAAAAUACAGAUGGGGGCAGAGGGUGGGUAUUUAGGGUGACACUGCUCCCUGGAGGAGGUGGACAGGAUCAGUCAGGCUGUGCCCUCUCCCUGCCUGCCAAGCUUGAGGAGGAGAACGUAGCUGUUCCCAGCUGGGGGCUGCACUGUAGAGCAGAGAAGGCCGGGGCUGGAGCAGGAUGGGGGGGCUGGUUCACCCCCAGGCAGAGGAGAUGGUUCUCCCAUCAGGUCUCCAGCUCUGGGUGCUGGGUGAGUCCCCCCAUGCUGGCAUUAGCUGAUGGCCCUGCUGUCACAGCCACUGGGUGCCACAUUCAGCUGCAGUGAGAGCCCAGUGGGAAUGGGAGAGAAUGCUCCUGGAGCUGUGGGAACUCAGGUGGGCACUUCGUAACUGUGGCACUCUCAGCCUCAGUGUCACCAACCAGAGGAAGUUUACCUGGAGGAGGCACCUCAGCAAUUGCUCUUUGUCCUCAGAUCUGUUGCUGCAGUCCCCAAACCAACCCCUGUUGGUUUGUGUCUUCUCUGUCCAGGCCACCCCUCUGAGUUGGUGGUGUCCCCGUGCUUGGCUGGUGGCUCUUUCCAGUGGUGAGGAAAGGGUGAUCUGGUUUCAGGUGGGCUUUGUCCACAGGGACACCCCAACUCCAGCGCUCUGGCCGUGGAACUGGCAGGGGAAUGUGGAGGCUGCAUCUCCCCAGCUCAGUCCCAUGGAUGAAGGCCAGGUUGCCCACCCCGCGUCCAUCCCCUGCACGUCCCACCUUGGAACCUCAUUAGGCUGCACAGCAGGGUGGGAUGAGGGGGAAACCAUUUCCUUUCUGCAAAACCAAAAAAGCCUCCCCCCAUGGAGCUGCCGGCCCCAGACCCCCGAGCACAUCUGCGGAGCUGCCGACGGGGAGGCUGUGCCUCCGGAAGGCGAAGCCUUCGUUGGCACGAAGCGCUGGGAGCCGCCUACUCAGCUGAAACCCAACAGCUUUUUCCAAUUUUCUCAUUCCCUGGGACUGUUCAAUGACCUGGGGCUCUGCACAAUCGCUGGCAAAUCCACCGAGGCAGGGCAGCGGUGCCUGCUUGGGGAUUGGCGAUGCAUCCCCAGCUCACGGCCGAGCUCACAGGCUCCAGGAGGGUCUGUUGAGGUGCUGCAGCUCU
Non-coding RNA from Taeniopygia guttata (zebra finch), 4440 nucleotides. The record is from RefSeq and is a predicted model, not a curated record. NCBI's taxonomy places the organism in Eukaryota, Metazoa, Chordata, Aves, Passeriformes, Estrildidae.